RNAcentral lists this unclassified non-coding RNA (275 nucleotides) under uncultured Actinomycetes bacterium. RNAcentral describes it as "uncultured actinobacterium contains 16S-23S intergenic spacer region". Lineage: Bacteria; Bacillati; Actinomycetota; Actinomycetes. The record is from RNAcentral.
UCCGGCUCAACGCCGGCAGUCUCUCUAGAGUCCCCACCAUUACGGGUCGGCCACCCUUUCAGGCGCCUACUUCCAGCAUGUCAAGCCUGGGUAAGGUUCUUCGCUUUGCAUCGAAUUAAGCCACGCGCUCCGCCGCUUGUGCGGGCCCCCGUCAAUUCCUUUGAGUUUUAGCCUUGCGGCCGUAGUCCCCAGGCGGCGGACUUAAUGCGUUAGCUUCGGCACAGAAGGCAUAAAGCCCCCCACACCUAGUCCGCACCGUUUACGGCCAGGACUAC